RNAcentral lists this ribosomal RNA (498 nucleotides) under uncultured Glomus. RNAcentral's name for it is "SSU rRNA". It matches the Rfam family "Eukaryotic small subunit ribosomal RNA", at positions 569 to 1074 of the family's 1831-position model. The record is from RNAcentral. Lineage: Eukaryota; Fungi; Glomeromycota; Glomeromycetes; Glomerales; Glomeraceae.
AGCAGUCGCGGUAAUUCCAGCUCCAAUAGCGUAUAUUAAAGUUGUUGCAGUUAAAAAGCUCGUAGUUGAAUUUCGAGAUCAAAUUGUUGGUCGUGCCUUGGUACGUACUGGCAUUAUUGGUUUCUCCCUUCUGACGAACCAUGAUGUCAUUAAUUUGGUGUCAUGGGGAAUCAGGACUGUUACUUUGAAAAAUUAGAGUGUUUAAAGCAGGCAUACGCUUGAAUACAUUAGCAUGGAAUAAUGAAAUAGGACGUUUGAUUCUAUUUUGUUGGUUUCUAGGAUCGACGUAAUGAUUAAUAGGGAUAGUUGGGGGCAUUAGUAUUCAAUUGUCAGAGGUGAAAUUCUUGGAUUUAUUGAAGACUAACUACUGCGAAAGCAUUUGCCAAGGAUGUUUUCAUUAAUCAAGAACGAAAGUUAGGGGAUCGAAGACGAUCAGAUACCGUCGUAGUCUUAACCAUAAACUAUGCCGACUAGGGAUCGGAUGAUGUAUUUUAAUGA